RNAcentral lists this transfer RNA (71 nucleotides) under Loxodonta africana (African savanna elephant). It matches the Rfam family "tRNA". Rfam says of the family: Transfer RNA (tRNA) molecules are approximately 80 nucleotides in length. Their secondary structure includes four short double-helical elements and three loops (D, anti-codon, and T loops). The record is from Rfam by way of RNAcentral. Lineage: Eukaryota; Metazoa; Chordata; Mammalia; Proboscidea; Elephantidae.
GAACUGGUGGUUCAGUGGUAGAAUUCUCACUUUCCAUCUGGGAGAUCCAGGUUCAAUUCCUGGACAGUGCA